RNAcentral lists this ribosomal RNA (390 nucleotides) under uncultured bacterium. RNAcentral describes it as "bacterial SSU rRNA". It matches the Rfam family "Bacterial small subunit ribosomal RNA", at positions 28 to 417 of the family's 1533-position model. The record is from RNAcentral.
GACGAACGCUGGCGGCGUGCUUAACACAUGCAAGUCGAGCGGUAAGGCCCUUUCGGGGGUACGACGAGCGGCGAACGGGUGAGUAACACGUGGGUGACCUGCCCUCAGCUCUGGGAUAAGCCUGGGAAACCGGGUCUAAUACCGGAUAUGACUCCAUGACGCAUGUUGUGGGGUGGAAAGCCUUGUGCGGCUGAGGAUGGGCCCGCGGCCUAUCAGCUUGUUGGUGGGGUGGAUGGCCUACCAAGGCGACGACGGGUAGCCGGCCUGAGAGGGCGACCGGCCACACUGGGACUGAGACACGGCCCAGACUCCUACGGGAGGCAGCAGUGGGGAAUCUUGCGCAAUGGGCGAAAGCCUGACGCAGCGACGCCGCGUGAGGGAUGACGGCCU